UACGUAGGGUGCAAGCGUUAUCCGGAAUUAUUGGGCGUAAAGAGCUCGUAGGCGGCUUGUCGCGUCGACUGUGAAAUCCCGCGGCUCAACUGCGGGUCUGCAGUCGAUACGGGCAGGCUAGAGUUCGGUAGGGGAGACUGGAAUUCCUGGUGUAGCGGUGAAAUGCGCAGAUAUCAGGAGGAACACCAAUGGCGAAGGCAGAUCUCUGGGCCGUAACUGACGCUGAGGAGCGAAAGCAUGGGGAGCGAACAGG
RNAcentral lists this ribosomal RNA (253 nucleotides) under uncultured bacterium. RNAcentral describes it as "partial 16S ribosomal RNA". It matches the Rfam family "Bacterial small subunit ribosomal RNA", at positions 524 to 776 of the family's 1533-position model. The record is from RNAcentral.